CGUGGAGACAGGUGGUGCAUGGUUGUCGUCAGCUCGUGUCGUGAGAUGUUGGGUUAAGUCCCGCAACGAGCGCAACCCUUGUCCUUAGUUACCAGCAGUAAGAUGGGGACUCUAGGGAGACUGCCAGUGACAAACUGGAGGAAGGUGGGGAUGACGUCAAAUCAUCAUGCCCUUUAUGCCUUGGGCUACACACGUACUACAAUGGGCUGUACAGAGGGCGGCAAGACUGUGAAGUCGAGCGAAUCCCAUAAAGCAGUCCUCAGUUCGGAUUGCAGGCUGCAACCCGCCUGCAUGAAGCUGGAAUCGCUAGUAAUCGCAGGUCAGCAUACUGCGGUGAAUACGUUCCCGGGCCUUGUACACACCGCCCGUCACACCGCGAAAGUCUGCUGUACUCGAAGUCGCUGAG
Molecule: ribosomal RNA, 406 nt
Filed under: uncultured Methylomirabilota bacterium
Lineage: Bacteria; Methylomirabilota (SeqCode)
Description: bacterial SSU rRNA
Rfam family: Bacterial small subunit ribosomal RNA
Source: RNAcentral